RNAcentral lists this ribosomal RNA (490 nucleotides) under Streptomyces sp. RNAcentral describes it as "bacterial SSU rRNA". It matches the Rfam family "Bacterial small subunit ribosomal RNA", at positions 123 to 627 of the family's 1533-position model. The record is from RNAcentral. Lineage: Bacteria; Bacillati; Actinomycetota; Actinomycetes; Kitasatosporales; Streptomycetaceae.
AAUCUGCCCUGCACUCUGGGACAAGCCCUGGAAACGGGGUCUAAUACCGGAUAACACUCUCCACCGCAUGGUGGGGGGUUGAAAGCUCCGGCGGUGCAGGAUGAGCCCGCGGCCUAUCAGCUUGUUGGUGAGGUAGUGGCUCACCAAGGCGACGACGGGUAGCCGGCCUGAGAGGGCGACCGGCCACACUGGGACUGAGACACGGCCCAGACUCCUACGGGAGGCAGCAGUGGGGAAUAUUGCACAAUGGGCGAAAGCCUGAUGCAGCGACGCCGCGUGAGGGAUGACGGCCUUCGGGUUGUAAACCUCUUUCAGCAGGGAAGAAGCGAAAGUGACGGUACCUGCAGAAGAAGCGCCGGCUAACUACGUGCCAGCAGCCGCGGUAAUACGUAGGGCGCAAGCGUUGUCCGGAAUUAUUGGGCGUAAAGAGCUCGUAGGCGGCUUGUCACGUCGGUUGUGAAAGCCCGGGGCUUAACCCCGGGUCUGCAGU